Molecule: ribosomal RNA, 380 nt
Filed under: uncultured soil bacterium
Lineage: Bacteria
Description: bacterial SSU rRNA
Rfam family: Bacterial small subunit ribosomal RNA
Source: RNAcentral
AGGACGAACGCUGGCGGCGUGCUUAACACAUGCAAGUCGAGCGGAAAGGCCACUUCGGUGGUACUCGAGCUGCGAACGGGUGAGUAACACGUGAGUAAUCUGCCCCUGGCUUUGGGAUAGCCACCGGAAACGGUGAUUAAUGCCGGAUAUGACCGCUUCUCGCAUGAGGUGUGGUGGAAAGUUUUUCGGCCAGGGAUGUGCUCGCGGCCUAUCAGCUUGAUGGUGAGGUAAUGGCUCACCAUGGCUUCGACGGGUAGCCGGCCUGAGAGGGUGACCGGUCACACUGGGACUGAGACACGGCCCAGACUCCGUACGGGAGCAGCAGUGGGAAUAUGGACAAGUGGGCGAAGCCUGAUCCAGCAACGCCGCGUGAGGAUGAC